This is a long non-coding RNA of Saccostrea cuccullata (small rock oyster), 1135 nucleotides long. RefSeq lists it as uncharacterized. The record is from RefSeq and is a predicted model, not a curated record. The transcript is spliced from 5 exons. Lineage: Eukaryota; Metazoa; Mollusca; Bivalvia; Ostreida; Ostreidae.
UUCUUCCUCUGCCUCAGCGGCCUCUGCUUCCCCCUCCACCACUGGGACUUCCUUGGCCACUGCCGGGAGUGAUCCUGGAAAGGGGGAUCCUAGUGGAACAAAUGUCAAAAUGGAGGAUAUACUGUGGUUACACAGAGCUGUCACUGUAUCCAAAAUCCUCAGGUGCUUGGGAUUCAAGGAGAAGCAUGGGAGUCGUCUCGUCAGUUCUGUGUGAGACUGCCCGGCGACCUGGUUGUGUCCAGCCUACAGACAGCUGCUGACUGUUCCAUCUCGUCAGUUCUAUGUGAGACUGCCCGGCGACCUGGUUGUGUCAGGCCUACAGACAGCUGCUGACCGUUCCGUCUAGUCAGUUCUGUGUGAGACUGGCCAGUGGAGGAGACCCGACCUACGCCUUCAAUGUCCACCUAACGGGGGAGGAGGUCCAUGGAACUAGUGGCUCCUUCCGACAGUUUUUAUGGCAAGCUGCCAAAGAAAUCAGUGGCCCCCUGGUGCGUUCACUGAUUCCCUGCAAUAACUCGGACAACAAAGGUCGCUACAUCUUCAGACCCGGCCCCAUGUCCUACCUAGAGGAAAGACUUCUACAGUUCUUUGGUCAAGUGCACAUGAUGCAGCUUCCUGGAUGGUGUAUAGGCGUUUGUUAACAUGUGAAACCCACGUGUAUUUUGGGGUAGUGUUGGACAACUGGAGCCUUGCCUUGUAUUUUUCUCAAACUGGAGCUGUUGGGAUUGAUUCCUGACACAUUUUCCCUAAAGGUGUCUUUCCAAGAAUUCUGAUGGAGCCUGGAGCAGAGUUUGGAGAUAUUUUAGCUUUCCGUGUUCUUCCAAGGAUUGUCUAUUGGUCUUGAGAUAGACUCGGGAGAUAUUUUCACUUUUCAUGUGAGAUAGACUCAGGAGAAAUUUUCGCUUUCCAUGUGAAAUAGACUCAGGAGAAAUUUUCGCUUUCCAUGUGAGAUAGACUCGGGAGAUAUUUUAACUUUCCGUGUUCUUCCAAGGAUUACCAUUUAGCCUAGAGCAGAGCAUUUUAUCCACCACAAUACUCUUUGACGGAACCUUAGACUUGAAUAUUGCAGAUAUUGGAUUUCAGAAUUUUUUCAAUUGAUAUUGUAUACUUUACAGUUUCUAUUAUAUAUCUGGGU